AAAUUGCUGGUGUACUGUAACUUGCUCAAAAAGAUCACCCAGUUAGCUCCUCGUUAACACUGAAGGGUGCUGCUGAUGAAUUUGGGUUUAUGCGGGAUUAAUCACUGGCAAGCUUAUAUGUCACUCUUUUCAUGACUACUAUGGAUGAACUCGCAAUAUAUUCAACAUGGUACAAGAUAAACUCCAAACGUGGAUGAUUUAUUUGAUUCGUUGUAAGGUGUAUGGAUGCCUUGGAGAGAGACAUCAGACAUGAUAAAAUAGAAGUUCGAUACUUGUGCCCUUUUGCCGAGUAUGCUGUGCAGGCAGUCUGAUUUUGCUCCCUUUAUAGUUAUACUGACUAGUUGACAUAUAGGUUUAGUCUGUAGAUAUGAUUAGUCCCCUUUUCUGUUUUACUGAAAAUCGGAAUGCAAGCAUGCCCAAGUUUUUUUUCGAGAAUUGAUGCCCAAGUUUCGAGGUAACAAUUUUUGACAAUACACUGUAUGUAGAAAAUAGGCACAUGAUAGACUUAGCAGAUAUGUAUGUUCCUCAUCUUAUCACUGUAAGUUUAACUGUAAAUGUAAUGCUCCCCUCAUGUAAAGGAUGAUCUUUUGAGAUCUACAAGCAAAAUAUCCAGAUGUAUUAUACAUUUAUACC
Lolium rigidum is the source of this 633-nucleotide long non-coding RNA. RefSeq lists it as uncharacterized. Lineage: Eukaryota; Viridiplantae; Streptophyta; Magnoliopsida; Poales; Poaceae. The transcript has 2 exons. The record is from RefSeq and is a predicted model, not a curated record.